RNAcentral lists this unclassified non-coding RNA (325 nucleotides) under Glyptopetalum rhytidophyllum. RNAcentral's name for it is "partial contains external transcribed spacer and 18S ribosomal RNA". Lineage: Eukaryota; Viridiplantae; Streptophyta; Magnoliopsida; Celastrales; Celastraceae. The record is from RNAcentral.
GCUUACCUGUCCCGAUGGUAUUCAUUAGCCAUGUUGCUUGUUUUCGUCUCACGCUCUCAUGGGGCGUGAAAUGAACUAGUUGGUGCCUCGCAUGUUCCUUUCUGAGCCAUCGGCUCUUGACUUGGCCCAUGCUCGGAAGCUGGUACUCUCGGAUGCUGAAAAUUAUGUGGGCAAAGGGCUCAAACCCCUUCAUCUCAAGCCCGGGCCUAGCGCUCGUCGCUCAAACCAAAAGACGUUGCUCCUCGCCUUGGCCUCACCGAACCAUCGGUUCUUGUGAUGGCCAUGCGUUGUGCUAUCGUCUCGAGGAAAGUUACCUGGUUGAUCC